Molecule: non-coding RNA, 24 nt
Filed under: Arabidopsis thaliana (thale cress)
Lineage: Eukaryota; Viridiplantae; Streptophyta; Magnoliopsida; Brassicales; Brassicaceae
Source: RNAcentral
UGUCGCCGAGCAGGCUCCAGCUGG